ACUUUAACCCACUUAAGGGAACCUGUCCUUUAAUUCGAUAAUCCACGACAAUCUUAUUUAUUUUAGAACAAUUCAGCUUGUAUGCCGUCGUCAUAAGUUAACCUUAAAAAGAAAAAAAGUUAACAACAAAGAAGAUAAACUUUAUUUUACUUCUAACAAGUCAGAUCAAGGUGCAGCCAAUAAGUAAAGAAGAGAUGGGUUACAAUUAACAAUUUUUAAUGGAAUUUUAAAAGAAAAGUUAAAAAAAAAUAGGACUUAAAAGUAAUUUGUAAAAACAAAUACCAAUGAAUAAGGAAACAAAGUGUGC
This 307-nucleotide ribosomal RNA is filed under the name Cellana radiata radiata. Its description in RNAcentral is "partial 12S ribosomal RNA". Lineage: Eukaryota; Metazoa; Mollusca; Gastropoda; Nacellidae. The record is from RNAcentral.